AAAUCUGGGCAGUGUAAUAUUUUUUUGUUUUCACUUGUUAAAUGUUCAUUUUUCUUCAUAACUUCAAAUAUCCAUAACUUCAUGAUCCCUUAACAUUUUUGACCCAUUCUUUUUGCCAUGUGUUCAUGAGAAUGUCUAUUUUAUGAUUUUUUUGUUUUCACUUGUUAAAUGUUCAUUUUUCUUCAUAACUUCAAAUAUCCAUAACUUCAUGAUCCCUUAACAUUUUUGACCCAUUCUUUUUGCCAUGUGUUCAUGAGAAUGUCUAUUUUAUGAU
RNAcentral lists this long non-coding RNA (274 nucleotides) under Lathyrus oleraceus (garden pea). RNAcentral describes it as "Pisum sativum (pea) long non-coding RNA (PSAT_LNC001417)". The record is from RNAcentral. Lineage: Eukaryota; Viridiplantae; Streptophyta; Magnoliopsida; Fabales; Fabaceae.